UAAAAACUGGACUGACUCACAGAAAGCGAUUGGGGCAGAUGGAGCAAGUGAUCUGCCCAAAUCACCCGCCCCAAUCACAUUGACAGCAGAAAUUGACAGCAGAGCGGGAAAUUGUGCAGAAAACAGAAAUUCGAAUUUUGAGAAGUCCAAAUCCACUUCAAACACUGCCAUCACAGUUCCAAGAGCCACGAAAGAGUUUCUCACCUAAGGAAUUCCAAUUGCAAUUAAAUUCAACAUCAAG
RNAcentral lists this long non-coding RNA (241 nucleotides) under Manihot esculenta (cassava). RNAcentral's name for it is "long non-coding RNA (MESC_LNC004156)". The record is from RNAcentral. Lineage: Eukaryota; Viridiplantae; Streptophyta; Magnoliopsida; Malpighiales; Euphorbiaceae.